GCAUAAGCAAAAAACCAACUUUUGCGAUGUAAAGUCACAGGGACUUAUUUGUUCCUGCAGCUUGUUUAUCCAGCUUCACUGAGGUACCAAGCAACUCGCUCAAGUCUGGUCAGCAAGUGAAGAGCAGAGCUAAGACUGGAAUCUAAGUCUUCUGAAUUGUCAGUUCAGGACCAUACUCUAUUAUCACAGGAGCAUCAGUGUGGGCACCACCACACCAAGUCAUUCAGAAAAUGGCCCAGUCAGCUGGAAACAGACGGACUACGGAUGGGCCAGUACAGACGUGGCACCCACGGAUCAAAGUCCAGAACCAGAGAAGAGCAUUCUCUCCAUCUUCAUGGACAAAAAGUCAGAGAGUCCUCAGCGACAGGCAUAUAUUUGGUUGUGACAUCAAUACACAGCAAAUUGAAUUCUUCCUGAAAACAACACACUGCAUUGCGUCAAGCACUUCAGGGUUCCAUCACUCCCCUCGGUGCAUACGACGAUGCUUCCUGUUCCGAAAUACUCAUUUUCCUCUGUACAAACAGGUCAGAUGGCUACCUUUGGGCAGGAAUCAAAAUAGAAGCUGAGAUUUUGCAAAGUCAUGCUAGUUUCUUCUCUCCCAAGAACAGAAGGGGCUUAGUUGGGAACCAUUCUCUGUCUGCAUGUUGGGCAGCAUCUGUCAAAGGGAACUCUCUCUCUCUCUCUCUCUCUCUCUCUCUCUCUCUCUCUCUCNNNNNNNNNNNNNNNNNNCCUGAGAAAUGGAUGCUUCAUCCCUGUUCUGACCUCCUUAGAUACAUACACUUAUACUCAAAUGUGAACAGAUGGAAAGCUAGCCAUAGGCAUGGUGACCACAUCUCUGGAACAGUCUAGAACACUUUCCACGGACCCUCUGGGUUACACAACUAUUUGCAUUUCUUUGCUCAGUUUCUUCUUCCUCCACCCUUUCACUUUCAGCUUGACUUCACCUUCUGGCCCUGAGAGUUACUUCAGCAUCCUUUGCCCAACAUCUAUUUUAGACCCAAUUCCCAGGAUGAAGCUUACCAACAUCGCUGGAACUCGUUUCUGCUAGGAAAGGAGCCCCCAGCUCCAAACAACAGGGCAACUUUGGGGAAGAAAGGGAAAUGAAAAUGCACUUUAGGGGAUGACAUCCAAAUGCAGUUGCCCUAGAGAUGCUACUUGACCU
This 1162-nucleotide long non-coding RNA is filed under the name Capra hircus (goat). Its description in RNAcentral is "lncRNA (ENSCHIG00010007373.1)". Lineage: Eukaryota; Metazoa; Chordata; Mammalia; Artiodactyla; Bovidae. The record is from RNAcentral.